CGAUGAAGGCCGGAGCUUGCUCUGGCUGGAUUAGUGGCGAACGGGUGAGUAACACGUGAGCAAUCUGCCCUUGACUCUGGGAUAAGCGUUGGAAACGACGUCUAAUACCGGAUACGACCCUCGGAGGCAUCUCCUGGGGGUGGAAAGAACUUUGGUCAAGGAUGAGCUCGCGGCCUAUCAGCUAGUUGGUGAGGUAAUGGCUCACCAAGGCGACGACGGGUAGCCGGCCUGAGAGGGUGACCGGCCACACUGGGACUGAGACACGGCCCAGACUCCUACGGGAGGCAGCAGUGGGGAAUAUUGCACAAUGGGCGAAAGCCUGAUGCAGCAACGCCGCGUGAGGGAUGACGGCCUUCGGGUUGUAAACCUCUUUUAGUAGGGAAGAAGCGAAAGUGACGGUACCUGCAGAAAAAGCACCGGCUAACUACGUGCCAGCAGCCGCGGUAAUACGUAGGGUGCAAGCGUUGUCCGGAAUUAUUGGGCGUAAAGAGCUCGUAGGCGGUUUGUCGCGUCUGCUGUGAAAUCUGGGGGCUCAACCCCCAGCCUGCAGUGGGUACGGGCAGACUAGAGUGCGGUAGGGGAGAUUGGAAUUCCUGGUGUAGCGGUGGAAUGCGCAGAUAUCAGGAGGAACACCAAUGGCGAAGGCAGAUCUCUGGGCCGUAACUGACGCUGAGGAGCGAAAGCAUGGGGAGCGAACAGGAUUAGAUA
Molecule: ribosomal RNA, 708 nt
Filed under: Microbacteriaceae bacterium
Lineage: Bacteria; Bacillati; Actinomycetota; Actinomycetes; Micrococcales; Microbacteriaceae
Description: bacterial SSU rRNA
Rfam family: Bacterial small subunit ribosomal RNA
Source: RNAcentral